UGGGGAAUAUUGCGCAAUGGGGGAAACCCUGACGCAGCGACGCCGCGUGUGGGAUGAAGGUCUUCGGAUUGUAAACCACUGUCGCGAGGGACGAAGCUCUGACGGUACCUCGAAAGGAAGCACCGGCUAACUCUGUGCCAGCAGCCGCGGUAAUACAGAGGGUGCGAGCGUUGUCCGGAAUCACUGGGCGUAAAGGGCGCGUAGGCGGCCCGGUAAGUAGGGGGUGAAAUCUCAUGGCUCAACUGUGAGGCUGCCUUCUAGACUGCCAGGCUUGAGCACAGUAGAGGCGAGUGGAAUUCCCGGUGUAGCGGUGGAAUGCGUAGAGAUCGGGAAGAACAUCGGUGGCGAAGGCGGCUCGCUGGGCUGUUGCUGACGCUGAGGCGCGAAAGCGUGGGGAGCAAACAGGAUUAGAUACCCCGAUAGUCCCUGAGCGGGCUGGCAAGGCGCAU
This 449-nucleotide ribosomal RNA is filed under the name uncultured bacterium. Its description in RNAcentral is "bacterial SSU rRNA". It matches the Rfam family "Bacterial small subunit ribosomal RNA", at positions 355 to 825 of the family's 1533-position model. The record is from RNAcentral.